This 521-nucleotide long non-coding RNA is filed under the name Marmota monax (woodchuck). Lineage: Eukaryota; Metazoa; Chordata; Mammalia; Rodentia; Sciuridae. The record is from RNAcentral.
CAGCCAGACUGCAGCAGCAUGUUAACUUUAAUUCUUCAGGGCAAAUAUUGACAAGUGGUAUAGCUCAUAGAGUGGUUCCAUGUCCAGUCUUUUGAGGAAUCUGAAUACUGAUUUACAAAGUGAUUGUACUAAUUUACUAUCCUACAACAAUGUAAAAGUGUUCUUUGAUUUCCACACUCUCUUCAGUCUUUAUUAGCAUUUGUGUUCUUGAUUUCUGACUGGUAUGAGAUGAAAUCUCAGUGUAGCUUUGAUUUCCAUUUCCAUAAUUGAAAAUCUUGUUGACCAUGUUUUCAUGUAUUUGUUGACCAUUUGUAUUUCUUCUUUUUAGAAGUAUCUGUCUGGUUCAUUUACCCAUGUAUCAAUUGUUUUUUAGUUUAUAUAUUCUGGAUGUUAAUCUUCUGUUGGAAGAUUAGCGAGGAAAGAUUUUUUUCCCAUUCUGUAGGUUCUUUCUUCACAUUCUUAAUUGUUUCCUUUUAUGAUCAGAAGAUUUUAAAUUUGUUGUCAUCCCAUUAAUUAACUCU